This 497-nucleotide ribosomal RNA is filed under the name uncultured bacterium. RNAcentral's name for it is "partial 16S ribosomal RNA". It matches the Rfam family "Bacterial small subunit ribosomal RNA", at positions 28 to 507 of the family's 1533-position model. The record is from RNAcentral.
GAUGAACGCUGGCGGCGUGCCUAAUACAUGCAAGUCGAGCGAACAGACGAGGAGCUUGCUCCUCUGACGUUAGCGGCGGACGGGUGAGUAACACGUGGAUAACCUACCUAUAAGACUGGGAUAACUUCGGGAAACCGGAGCUAAUACCGGAUAAUAUAUUGAACCGCAUGGUUCAAUAGUGAAAGACGGUUUUGCUGUCACUUAUAGAUGGAUCCGCGCCGCAUUAGCUAGUUGGUAAGGUAACGGCUUACCAAGGCAACGAUGCGUAGCCGACCUGGGAGGGUGGACGGCCACACUGGAACUGAGAAAAGGUCCAGAAUCCUAAGGGAGGCAGCAGUAGGGAAUCUUCCGCAAUGGGCGAAAGCUUGAAGGAGCAACGCCGCGUGAGUGAUGAAGGUCUUCGGAUCGUAAAACUCUGUUAUUAGGGAAGAACAAAUGUGUAAGUAACUAUGCACGUCUUGACGGUACCUAAUCAGAAAGCCACGGCUAACUACGUG